UUAUGUAAUAUAAAAUAUUAUAUUUAACUUCCAAUUAAGAAAUCUAUCCACAAAUAGCAUAAAUA
Molecule: transfer RNA, 65 nt
Filed under: Apoderinae sp. 2 AV-2018
Lineage: Eukaryota; Metazoa; Arthropoda; Insecta; Coleoptera; Attelabidae
Description: tRNA-Gly
Source: RNAcentral